Molecule: unclassified non-coding RNA, 334 nt
Filed under: soil metagenome
Description: partial contains 5.8S ribosomal RNA, internal transcribed spacer 2, and large subunit ribosomal RNA
Rfam family: 5.8S ribosomal RNA (bases 1-120)
Source: RNAcentral
GAUGAAGAACGUAGCGAAAUGCGAUAAGUAGUGUGAAUUGCAGAAUUCAGUGAAUCAUCGAAUCUUUGAACGCACAUUGCGCCCCUUGGUAUUCCAUGGGGCAUGCCUGUUCGAGCGUCAUUUGUACCUUCAAGCUCUGCUUGGUGUUGGGUGUUUGUCUCGCCUUGCGCGUAGACUCGCCUUAAAACAAUUGGCAGCCGGCGUAUUGAUUUCGGAGCGCAGUACAUCUCGCGCUUUGCACUCAUAACGACGACGUCCAAAAGUACUUUUUACACUCUUGACCUCGGAUCAGGUAGGGAUACCCGCUGAACUUAAGCAUAUCAUAAGCGGAGGA